RNAcentral lists this ribosomal RNA (436 nucleotides) under uncultured bacterium. Its description in RNAcentral is "partial 16S ribosomal RNA". It matches the Rfam family "Bacterial small subunit ribosomal RNA", at positions 29 to 507 of the family's 1533-position model. The record is from RNAcentral.
AACGAACGCUGGCGGCAUGCCUAACACAUGCAAGUCGAACGAUGGUCUUCGGAUCAUCGUGGCGCACGGGUGCGUAACGCGUGGGAAUCUGCCCUUGGGUUCGGAAUAACAGUUGGAAACGACUGCUAAUACCGGAUGAUGUCGAUAAGACCAAAGAUUUAUCGCCCGAGGAUGAGCCCGCGUCGGAUUAGCUAGUUGGUGGGGUAAAGGCCUACCAAGGCGACGAUCCGUAGCUGGUCUGAGAGGAUGAUCAGCCACACUGGGACUGAGACACGGCCCAGACUCCUACGGGAGGCAGCAGUGGGGAAUAUCGGACAAUGGGCGCAAGCCUGAUCCAGCAAUGCCGCGUGAGUGAUGAAGGCCUUAGGGUUGUAAAGCUCUUUUACCCGGGAAGAUAAUGACUGUACCGGGAGAAUAAGCCCCGGCUAACUCCGUG